CACUCCAUCAUCACAACCAAUAACCCUAAUCCCUAAUAUUGAGGGUGGGGGUUUUCACCUUUCUUAGAUCUCACGAACAACCAACGCCGUCCAUGAAACGCCGCCGCCGUCCAUCGUCCACCAUUCAACCAUGAACCACCACCGAUCAAAAUUAGUGAAGUAGAAGAUGGGAUAUGCAUGAAGUAAUGUCAGAGAAAGAUGAUGGAAUGAAUGGAGAAAGUGAGAAAGAAUUGAGAAGGAGAGAAAGAAACAUGAGGAAGAAAGAAAGAAGGAACAAGCCCCAGAAAUUGUGGUUCGAGAGAAAAUUCACAAAAGAGCCUCAGUGCUAUAGAAAGAAUAAAAAACCGUCUGAGGAAGAAAGGAAAAGUUCAAAUGAUGUAAUGGACUUUUAUGGAUGAUGUUGUGAAUGGUCUAAAUGACCAUAUCAAGUGGCUGCUGUUAGACAUUAAACUGAAGCAGAAAAAUUGAGAAGGGAUGAGAAUGAAAUUGUAUUCACGCAAAUAAUCUGGGUGGCUGCUGUUAGACAUUAAACUGAAGCAGAAAAAUUGAGAAGGGAUUCGAACCCACUCCAUCUAACUAUAAGCAUGUAUUGCUCUCCACCAAACUACUCAUGUUUUUUGUUAAAUGUUUGCAGAACACAAGUAUAUAAUGAAUAAUUUAAUUAGUAGCAAAUUGGCAUAUUUAAUGUAUAUAAUGAAUAUUUUAUAUAUUAAUAUUAGGUUUUAUUUAAAAUGUUAAAUCAUAAUGGUAGAUUUUAAAAUAUUUAG
This is a long non-coding RNA of Vicia villosa (hairy vetch), 767 nucleotides long. RefSeq lists it as uncharacterized. The transcript has 3 exons. NCBI's taxonomy places the organism in Eukaryota, Viridiplantae, Streptophyta, Magnoliopsida, Fabales, Fabaceae. The record is from RefSeq and is a predicted model, not a curated record.